This is a non-coding RNA of Triticum aestivum (bread wheat), 124 nucleotides long. The record is from Rfam. NCBI's taxonomy places the organism in Eukaryota, Viridiplantae, Streptophyta, Magnoliopsida, Poales, Poaceae.
AUUGUACUCCCUCCGUCUGGAAAUACUUAUGAGAGAAAGGCAUAAAAAUGAUAUACCUAGAACUAAAAUACGUCUAGAUACAUCCAUUUCUCCGACAAGUAUUUCCGGACGGAGGGAGUACUAU